RNAcentral lists this long non-coding RNA (3746 nucleotides) under Sus scrofa (pig). RNAcentral describes it as "lncRNA (ENSSSCG00000052351.1)". The record is from RNAcentral. Lineage: Eukaryota; Metazoa; Chordata; Mammalia; Artiodactyla; Suidae.
UUUCCAAUUUCCUAGCUGUCACAAUAUUCAACAGACUGCAUCCUUCUACAUUUUGGACAGACUAAUGGAUUCACAGGAUAGGAUCAUUGUUACUAUUUCUAGGGAACUUCAGAGUAUGGCUUAGGUAUGAUUACCUAUCCAGGUUACCAUUAUAAGUUCAUUUUACUCUAAGGAUGGACAAAUGCUACUGUCCGAAUGUUUCUCGGAAUACCACUAGGCAUUCUAUGAAUGACCAGGUAGUCUGAUUAUCAAAAUCCCAUUAGAUCUCACUCGAUCCUCUGGGAAGUUGGGAUGUGAGGAUGACUAUAUUAGUGACGUUACCAUUUGGGGAGGAUUUCUAGGUACCAGACAGAGAGAGCUAAGCACUUCUAUCAACGACCUCCCAAUCCCCAGGAUGAUCUUUUGAGUUUACGGUUAUUAUUUCCAUGUCCCAAAUGAUAAAUCACACAAUUCAGAGAGGGACCCAUCACACGCUGAAGAGUAUGGGGUCAAGCACGUAAAGGCACAGACUGAUGUUCUUUUAGAAUUCAGUGCAUCCCACUGCCUGGUCUCCUCUCCCUGCCCCCGCCUGGCCUGAGGUCCUUCAGCACGUCCAUGGCUGUGCUCACCCUGCUCCCUCUGUCUGGAUGGCCCUUCCUCUCCCCUCUGCCUGGGAAACACAGUCAUCGCUCAAGACGCAGCUCUGGCACCACAUCCUCUAAGAAGCCAUAUUACUGUCUCUCCCACCCCUACACACCCUGUGGACAGGACCCUGUGGUUCUUCCGCCCCACUCUUCUCUGCUCCCCAGUUUAUUACCAAACCCAUGACAUGUGAUGUUGGUACUGAUCUUUUUUGUCUCUCUUCAGUAUUAAACUGCCAUCUUUUCAGACUAGACUGUAUCAUCUUCUUCCACACAUUCCCACAGCCUAGAUCAGUGCCUGACACUUAGUAGGUGUUCACUGUACAUGUAUUGCAUUGAUGGGCAGAUGGCAAAAGUGAUGAGUGGAAAAAAUACCUUCUAGAAUUUAAGGGAAUCAGCAUACAGGCAGUCAACGCUGUAAUGUGUAUUUGCUGUAUUCUUUGAGAAUAUUCAGCUCUGCUCUAGAAGACAAGAAAACAGUAAAAUGGAUGAAACUCCUGAGAUAUGUGAGAUAUAGAUAAUGGAGAACGAGUAGCUCAUGAAACAUUGACAAAAAUGUGUUAGGUUAAGUAAGUAAGUUAGGAAUCCAUGAGACAGGUUAGACAUGGAGAAAGCUAGUAAAGCAUGUAUUGCUCAACAUAGAAAAGGCCAGAAGGACAAAGAGGCAACAAAUAUUCAUGAACCUUUAGAUGAACGUGAGGAAUAUGAGACAUUCAGUAUUCAUGUGGUCUUAAGUUGACACCCCCCGCCCCCAGUAGUGUUACUAUUUCUGGUAUCAUGUACCCUUUGCCUAAGGAAUAUAGAUAAAAUCCAUAGUGGCUUUUCAGGCAAAUCGGCAUUGCUAUUGGUCAGGGGACUUGCUGUGUAUCUCUGUGAUACAGCAAGCUUGGGCUGGUUUCAGGCACCUUUGGGCUGAACCUUCUUGUUUAAAUCUCAUCUCAUCUGUAUAACUCGCCAUCAGUGGGGACGGCUGUUGAGGAAGAGAGAGAGAGGAUGCAUGAAUAGUGGGCCACAGGAUCAGGUAAUGUGGCCCCUGCACCCUACCUUGAGUGUAGUUCCCUCCCUACCACAUCUGUCCCCUCUUCUUCUAGCUGUGUUUUUGAAAGGAUUCGAUUAGCUAUAUGUUUCAAGCAUAUUAAUUUAGGGUGAGCCCCUCUAUGCCAUGAUCUCAGGGGUAUCUUGCCUAGUAGCAUAAUUACAAGCUACCACUGCAUCAAGGAAAUUCCCAAUGACAAGUAUAUGUCCUGUAAACCCCUCUAGGGCUUCCUUCCCUUGGAGGCCAAACAUGGCAGCUCCCUGUCAGACUGACUGGUCUUUUCUCCAAUUACUAUAAGAAAAAAGAAAAUUCAAGGUACCGGAAAUCUUUAUAUCCAGAUUGCACAGCAGAAAUAUUGAGAUUAUAGGAGUUCCCUGGUGGCCUAGCGGGUUAAGGAUCUGGCAUUGUCACUGCUGUGGCCCAGGUCACUGCUGUGGUGCAGGCUCAAUCCCUGGCCCUGGAACUUCCACGUGCCUCUGGCACGGCCAAUAAAAAUGAGAUUAUAGACACGCUAAACAUUCAGUACUCAGGCAUGAGUUGUAGUCCUAUUUUUAUGCAAAAUACUUAUGACAAAUUUUAAAGGAAAAUUGCCUAACUGAGAUGCUUUAUGAUUAACUGCUGCAAAUGUGAGAAACUCUGAGUCUUCUCUCCAAUUAUGAGUAAGCAAUUUUAUUUUUUCUCAGUGUCAGGGCAACCCAAGUCCACACAAAUAGGCCCUUGCAGAAUCCCACAACUUCACCCUGUGUAGCCAGUUUGAAUUCCUAUAUGUGUGGCCCAAUAAAAAGUUAUAAUCUGACUGAGUGGGUUGUUGGCCGUCUGAGUCCAUUCCUAGCAUGUGAUAUUACUUCAGACUUUCAUUCUUGUUUAUUGGCCAUCGAUAGUAUUAUGAGUCUUGUUUAUUACUGCUGGUUUCACACAGCUCAACUUCAUGUAUAAAAAAUGUUCUCUCUCCUGAGUCACAUUUAAAUUUAUUCACAUCGAGUUCCAAGAUUCUUCCUUUCUUUGGACAAGAUCUAUAUUAAAUGAGUCUGUAGAGCCACUGUUUCCCCCCCUCAUCCUAGCAAAUGGCCCCUUCAAAAUGGGUUUGUUGAGCAUCACAUUGUAACUGUGCUUGUGAAAGCUCCUCACAACCAAGAUCUACUGGUUCAGGAAGUGAAAAAAGAAAAACGAAAGGAAGGAAAAGAAAAAUAAUUAUCUCCUUUUGAUCUUGUAUAUUGAAUUUACUUUCGAUCUUCUAAUAACAGUAUGAUAUUCAGUCUCUGCCGGAAUGGAGUUGUGACAUCUAGGGCUUGGAGGGUGUGUGAUGCUAGAAAAAUAGCCUUAUGGGGCCUUGGGGACCAUUGAUGUGUCUCUGACCCUGUGGAGCUGCUUAUUGUCAGUGCAUAACAGAGUCAGGGCACGUUUUAUAUGUACUGGUGAAAACAAACAGAACUUGGUGGUACUUGGGACUUUUCACCCGAAGAUCUCCAUGGGUCUACAGUACUAGGACCAGGCAAACUUCCGCUGGAAGAUUUCUCCUUUGGUCUUAGGGUUGUCUGUUUACAACCCAAUUAACAUUCUUGAAGCUGGGAGGAGGACCAGUCUCCCUGCAUGCUUAGCUCAGGCCACUGCUGAUGUAAUAUGGAGCCCCAGUGAGCUGGCUUCUCUCUAGACAAUGGGGAGAAAGCCUGAGCUAGAGGGCACAUCAACCCACCCUGGACUGGAGCCUAAGCUCCACUCCCUAAGCACCUGCAGGAAAGCAGCAUCCAGUCCAAAGCCCCAUGCUCUGGCCUCCCACCAGGGAGCCAGCGGCUGACCCCCAGCCCCCACCCCCACAGCCAAUGGCUGCCUCGCCUUCCCCAGCAUCUGCCCAAUCGCUCUUCCCCAGCUUGGGAACCCUUGGAGGACAGUCUUUCACUGUGCGCUCGCUGCUCGCUCGGUUCAGCCCUCAAACUGAAAUCUGCUGAGGAGGCAGUGCAUUGUCUUUACCUCACAUUAAGAUGCAAAUAGCUGACAUCAAAGGCUUUCCUGACAGCUGGUUUUGCAGGGGCGCACUCUGGGCUGUGUGAGGAAAGGGAAGUGCAGAAGUGGAAGUGGCAGAGUUGAGGGUG